RNAcentral lists this ribosomal RNA (53 nucleotides) under Krameria revoluta. RNAcentral's name for it is "partial 18S ribosomal RNA". It matches the Rfam family "Eukaryotic small subunit ribosomal RNA", at positions 1778 to 1831 of the family's 1831-position model. Lineage: Eukaryota; Viridiplantae; Streptophyta; Magnoliopsida; Zygophyllales; Krameriaceae. The record is from RNAcentral.
GGAAGGAGAAGUCGUAACAAGGUUUCCGUAGGUGAUCCUGCGAAGGAUCAUUG